GAAUUUAGCAGAGAUGCUUUAGUGCCUUCGGGAACUCUGAGACAGGUGCUGCAUGGCUGUCGUCAGCUCGUGUUGUGAAAUGUUGGGUUAAGUCCCGNAACGAGCGCAACCCUUAUCCUUUGUUGCCAGCACGUAAUGGUGGGAACUCAAAGGAGACUGCCGGUGAUAAACCGGAGGAAGGUGGGGAUGACGUCAAGUCAUCAUGGCCCUUACGAGUAGGGCUACACACGUGCUACAAUGGCGCAUACAAAGAGAAGCGACCUCGCGAGAGCAAGCGGACCUCAUAAAGUGCGUCGUAGUCCGGAUUGGAGUCUGCAACUCGACUCCAUGAAGUCGGAAUCGCUAGUAAUCGUAAAUCAGAAUGUUACGGUGAAUACGUUCCCGGGCCUUGUACACACCGCCCGUCACACCAUGGGAGUGGGUUGCAAAAGAAGUAGACAGCUUAACCUUCGGGAGGGCGUUUACCACUUUGUGAUUCAUGACUGGGGUGAAGUCGUAACAAGGUAAGCGUAGUGCU
RNAcentral lists this ribosomal RNA (517 nucleotides) under uncultured bacterium. Its description in RNAcentral is "bacterial SSU rRNA". It matches the Rfam family "Bacterial small subunit ribosomal RNA", at positions 993 to 1509 of the family's 1533-position model. The record is from RNAcentral.